Molecule: ribosomal RNA, 254 nt
Filed under: uncultured bacterium
Lineage: Bacteria
Description: partial 16S ribosomal RNA
Rfam family: Bacterial small subunit ribosomal RNA
Source: RNAcentral
UACGUAGGAGGCAAGCGUUGUCCGGAAUUACUGGGCGUAAAGAGCGUGUAGGCGGCCUGGUAAGUCCGCUGUGAAAGUCCAGGGCUCAACCCUGGAAUGCCGGUGGAAACUGUCAGGCUCGAGUCCGGAAGAGGCGAGUGGAAUUCCUGGUGUAGCGGUGAAAUGCGCAGAUAAUCAGGAGGAACACCAAUGGCGAAGGCAGCUCGCUGGGACGGUACUGACACUGAGGCGCGAAAGCGUGGGGAGCGAACAGG